AGACAAGGAGGCAGAGGAGUUUGAAGACGCGGUUGCAGAGGAACUACGUCAGAUCGUCCUGGCAGAAGACAGAAAGCUUUACCAGGCAGCGAAGGGUGUCGAUUUUGUGAAGGACCCAAACCCACAGUACAACGAAGGGUUGAACCUGGACUACGGUGACAACUUCCUGAUCCCACAGUCGAAGUCAGCUUACAAAACUGACGCCAAAAGCAUCCUCGACGAGGCGUCCAUACUAGAUGCCCUCCAAGAAGAAGAAAAAGAAGGAAAGCCCAAGAAAGAUGCAGACAAGGCGAGUGAGGAGGUGGAGGAGACAUCAGACGCUAAUGAGAAGGAU
Molecule: long non-coding RNA, 334 nt
Organism: Branchiostoma belcheri (Belcher's lancelet)
Lineage: Eukaryota; Metazoa; Chordata; Leptocardii; Amphioxiformes; Branchiostomatidae
Exons: 3
Source: RefSeq, a predicted model, not a curated record